ANGGCGCAAGCGUUAUCCGGAAUUAUUGGGCGUAAAGAGCUCGUAGGCGGUUUGUCGCGUCUGCCGUGAAAGUCCGGGGCUUAACCCCGGAUCUGCGGUGGGUACGGGCAGACUAGAGUGAUGUAGGGGAGACUGGAAUUCCUGGUGUAGCGGUGAAAUGCGCAGAUAUCAGGAGGAACACCGAUGGCGAAGGCAGGUCUCUGGGCAUUAACUGACGCUGAGGAGCGAAAGCAUGGGGAGCGAACAGGAUUAGAUACCCUGGUAGUCCAUGCCGUAAACGUUGGGCACUAGGUGUGGGGGACAUUCCACGUUUUCCGCGCCGUAGCUAACGCAUUAAGUGCCCCGCCUGGGGAGUACGGCCGCAAGGCUAAAACUCAAAGGAAUUGACGGGGGCCCGCACAAGCGGCGGAGCAUGCGGAUUAAUUCGAUGCAACGCGAAGAACCUUACCAAGGCUUGACAUGAACUGGAACAGCGCAGAGAUGUGUUGGCCGCUUGCGGCCGGUUUACAGGUGGUGCAUGGUUGUCGUCAGCUCGUGUCGUGAGAUGUUGGGUUAAGUCCCGCAACGAGCGCAACCCUCGUUCUAUGUUGCCAGCGC
RNAcentral lists this ribosomal RNA (597 nucleotides) under uncultured bacterium. Its description in RNAcentral is "bacterial SSU rRNA". It matches the Rfam family "Bacterial small subunit ribosomal RNA", at positions 529 to 1124 of the family's 1533-position model. The record is from RNAcentral.